RNAcentral lists this transfer RNA (71 nucleotides) under Planoprotostelium fungivorum. It matches the Rfam family "tRNA". Rfam says of the family: Transfer RNA (tRNA) molecules are approximately 80 nucleotides in length. Their secondary structure includes four short double-helical elements and three loops (D, anti-codon, and T loops). Lineage: Eukaryota; Evosea; Variosea; Cavosteliida; Cavosteliaceae. The record is from Rfam by way of RNAcentral.
GGCUCCAUAGUUUAGAGGUAAAAUUCCUGCUUUGGGUGCAGGAGGCCCGGGUUCGAGUCCCGGUGGAGCCC